UUUAUUUGUAUUUUGGUGUGAUGCUAAAUCAUUUUUUUCCACUUUUAAACAAUGUCUUGCUUUUCUUUUCUUAUGUAUCUUUCCUAAGGAUAGCAAUUUAUGUUGGAGUUAAUGUUUGUUCUAAUAGUUGUGUCACAUUUGUUUUUGGAAAAUUUCAUCCAUGAAAGCAACCAAUUUUCUGUGCAAGUUUUCUUUUCUUUAGUUUAUCAAUUGUAGCCUGUGACUAUAUGUGAAUUAUAGUCUUAAAAUAUGAUGCACAUAAUGGCUGCUGGCUAUUUGGUUGUAUUGUUAGAUGUGUUAGAACAGGUGAGAUUCACUGCUGUACAAGCUAAGAAACCAUUCUCUUAAAAAAAUUUCAAUUAGAUUACUCAUUGUUUGUGUUCUUAAUCAUUCAGAUACUGGAGCUAAAUCCAGACAAGAUUCACUAAGUUAAUACAAAUUUACUUGCAGCACAGACAAAAUGAGUGAGGCUGCAAUAUUGGAAGUCGUUAGAAAGAAUUUUGCAGAUCACCUUAUUCUUGGUGAGGAGGGAGGUGUCAUAGGAGAUACAUUAUCUGAUUAUCUCUGGUGCAUUGAUCCUCUA
Molecule: unclassified non-coding RNA, 583 nt
Filed under: Hevea brasiliensis (rubber tree)
Lineage: Eukaryota; Viridiplantae; Streptophyta; Magnoliopsida; Malpighiales; Euphorbiaceae
Source: RNAcentral